RNAcentral lists this ribosomal RNA (301 nucleotides) under uncultured bacterium. RNAcentral's name for it is "partial 16S ribosomal RNA". It matches the Rfam family "Bacterial small subunit ribosomal RNA", at positions 509 to 809 of the family's 1533-position model. The record is from RNAcentral.
CAGUCGCCGCGGUAAUACGUAGGUGGCGAGCGUUGUCCGGAAUCAUUGGGCGUAAAGGGAGCGCAGGCGGGCAAGUAAGUCUUUCUUAAAAGUGCGGGGCUCAACCCCGUGAUGGGAAAGAAACUACAUGUCUUGAGUACAGGAGAGGAAAGCGGAAUUCCCAGUGUAGCGGUGAAAUGCGUAGAUAUUGGGAGGAACACCAGUGGCGAAGGCGGCUUUCUGGACUGCAACUGACGCUGAGGCUCGAAAGCCAGGGGAGCGAACGGGAUUAGAUACCCGUGUAGUCCCUGUCUCUUAUACA